AGUGGCGGACGGGUGAGUAACGCGUAAGAAUCUAACUUCAGGACGGGGACAACAGUGGGAAACGACUGCUAAUACCCGAUGUGCCGCGAAGUGAAACCUAAUUGGCCUGAAGAAGAGCUUGCGUCUGAUUAGCUAGUUGGUGGGGUAAGAGCCUACCAAGGCGACGAUCAGUAGCUGGUCUGAGAGGAUGAGCAGCCACACUGGGACUGAGACACGGCCCAGACUCCUACGGGAGGCAGCAGUGGGGAAUUUUCCGCAAUGGGCGAAAGCCUGACGGAGCAACGCCGCGUGAGGGAGGAAGGUCUUUGGAUUGUAAACCUCUUUUCUCAAGGAAGAAGUUCUGACGGUACUUGAGGAAUCAGCCUCGGCUAACUCCGUGCCAGCAGCCGCGGUAAUACGGGGGAGGCAAGCGUUAUCCGGAAUUAUUGGGCGUAAAGCGUCCGCAGGUGGUCAGCCAAGUCUGCCGUCAAAUCAGGUUGCUUAACGACCUAAAGGCGGUGGAAACUGGCAGACUAGAGAGCAGUAGGGGUAGCAGGAAUUCCCAGUGUAGCGGUGAAAUGCGUAGAGAUUGGGAAGAACAUCGGUGGCGAAAGCGUGCUACUGGGCUGUAUCUGACACUCAGGGACGAAAGCUAGGGGAGCGAAAGGGAUUAGAUACCCCUGCAGUCCUAGCCGUAAACGAUGGAUACUAGGCGUGGCUU
Molecule: ribosomal RNA, 700 nt
Filed under: uncultured bacterium
Lineage: Bacteria
Description: bacterial SSU rRNA
Rfam family: Bacterial small subunit ribosomal RNA
Source: RNAcentral